This 1517-nucleotide ribosomal RNA is filed under the name Bacteroides fragilis HMW 615. RNAcentral describes it as "bacterial SSU rRNA". It matches the Rfam family "Bacterial small subunit ribosomal RNA". The record is from RNAcentral. Lineage: Bacteria; Pseudomonadati; Bacteroidota; Bacteroidia; Bacteroidales; Bacteroidaceae.
AGAGUUUGAUCCUGGCUCAGGAUGAACGCUAGCUACAGGCUUAACACAUGCAAGUCGAGGGGCAUCAGGAAGAAAGCUUGCUUUCUUUGCUGGCGACCGGCGCACGGGUGAGUAACACGUAUCCAACCUGCCCUUUACUCGGGGAUAGCCUUUCGAAAGAAAGAUUAAUACCCGAUGGCAUAAUGAUUCCGCAUGGUUUCAUUAUUAAAGGAUUCCGGUAAAGGAUGGGGAUGCGUUCCAUUAGGUUGUUGGUGAGGUAACGGCUCACCAAGCCUUCGAUGGAUAGGGGUUCUGAGAGGAAGGUCCCCCACAUUGGAACUGAGACACGGUCCAAACUCCUACGGGAGGCAGCAGUGAGGAAUAUUGGUCAAUGGGCGCUAGCCUGAACCAGCCAAGUAGCGUGAAGGAUGAAGGCUCUAUGGGUCGUAAACUUCUUUUAUAUAAGAAUAAAGUGCAGUAUGUAUACUGUUUUGUAUGUAUUAUAUGAAUAAGGAUCGGCUAACUCCGUGCCAGCAGCCGCGGUAAUACGGAGGAUCCGAGCGUUAUCCGGAUUUAUUGGGUUUAAAGGGAGCGUAGGUGGACUGGUAAGUCAGUUGUGAAAGUUUGCGGCUCAACCGUAAAAUUGCAGUUGAUACUGUCAGUCUUGAGUACAGUAGAGGUGGGCGGAAUUCGUGGUGUAGCGGUGAAAUGCUUAGAUAUCACGAAGAACUCCGAUUGCGAAGGCAGCUCACUGGACUGCAACUGACACUGAUGCUCGAAAGUGUGGGUAUCAAACAGGAUUAGAUACCCUGGUAGUCCACACAGUAAACGAUGAAUACUCGCUGUUUGCGAUAUACAGUAAGCGGCCAAGCGAAAGCAUUAAGUAUUCCACCUGGGGAGUACGCCGGCAACGGUGAAACUCAAAGGAAUUGACGGGGGCCCGCACAAGCGGAGGAACAUGUGGUUUAAUUCGAUGAUACGCGAGGAACCUUACCCGGGCUUAAAUUGCAGUGGAAUGAUGUGGAAACAUGUCAGUGAGCAAUCACCGCUGUGAAGGUGCUGCAUGGUUGUCGUCAGCUCGUGCCGUGAGGUGUCGGCUUAAGUGCCAUAACGAGCGCAACCCUUAUCUUUAGUUACUAACAGGUUAUGCUGAGGACUCUAGAGAGACUGCCGUCGUAAGAUGUGAGGAAGGUGGGGAUGACGUCAAAUCAGCACGGCCCUUACGUCCGGGGCUACACACGUGUUACAAUGGGGGGUACAGAAGGCAGCUAGCGGGUGACCGUAUGCUAAUCCCAAAAGCCUCUCUCAGUUCGGAUCGAAGUCUGCAACCCGACUUCGUGAAGCUGGAUUCGCUAGUAAUCGCGCAUCAGCCACGGCGCGGUGAAUACGUUCCCGGGCCUUGUACACACCGCCCGUCAAGCCAUGGGAGCCGGGGGUACCUGAAGUACGUAACCGCAAGGAUCGUCCUAGGGUAAAACUGGUGACUGGGGCUAAGUCGUAACAAGGUAGCCGUACCGGAAGGUGCGGCUGGAACACCU